AUUGAACGCUGGCGGCAGGCCUAACACAUGCAAGUCGAGCGGAUGAGUGGAGCUUGCUCCAUGAUUCAGCGGCGGACGGGUGAGUAAUGCCUAGGAAUCUGCCUGGUAGUGGGGGACAACGUUUCGAAAGGAACGCUAAUACCGCAUACGUCCUACGGGAGAAAGCAGGGGGACCUUCGGGCCUUGCGCUAUCAGAUGAGCCUAGGUCGGAUUAGCUAGUAGGUGAGGUAAUGGCUCACCUAGGCGACGAUCCGUAACUGGUCUGAGAGGAUGAUCAGUCACACUGGAACUGAGACACGGUCCAGACUCCUACGGGAGGCAGCAGUGGGGAAUAUUGGACAAUGGGCGAAAGCCUGAUCCAGCCAUGCCGCGUGCGUGAAGAAGGUCUUCGGAUUGUAAAGCACUUUAAGUUGGGAGGAAGGGUAGUAACCUAAUACGUUGCUACUUUGACGUUAUCGUACAGAAUAAGCACCGGCUAACUACGUGACCA
Molecule: ribosomal RNA, 490 nt
Filed under: uncultured bacterium
Lineage: Bacteria
Description: bacterial SSU rRNA
Rfam family: Bacterial small subunit ribosomal RNA
Source: RNAcentral